Molecule: long non-coding RNA, 3054 nt
Filed under: Marmota monax (woodchuck)
Lineage: Eukaryota; Metazoa; Chordata; Mammalia; Rodentia; Sciuridae
Source: RNAcentral
AGAGGACCGCCUCCAUCUUCCUAGAGCGGCGCCAGGGCCGCCGCGGGUCUCGCUUCCGUCUUGGCGGAUUCGGCGCUCUGCAGGAGCUUGCGGUGAGCGGCUCUGGUUGCGCAACCUGGUGCCGGUCCUGAAGGUUGCGUGUUUGGGCCUCGCAGACGCCCCGCGAGAGCCCCAUGAGGCCGCCCGAACCCUGGCCAGCCCCUGUUGUCGAGGCACGACUGACCUUCCUGCCCCGAGACCUUGUCCUCUGGCUCGAGGUACGCUGGGUGGGCGCCCGCGACCGACAUCUGGGGUCCCCUGCCUCCCGGGUGGAGCGUUCUGAUCGCGGUUGGGUCUGUGGUCACCAUCUCCAGUGGGACAUUGAGCGUCUUACCCAUUUCACCUGAGGUUAGUUCGCGACUUGAAUUUUGCGCUGCAAACCGUUGUUGAUUCAGGGAUCCCUUCUCUCCAAAGGCUCCUUUCGAGUCUUUGCCGUGAUUCCUACAGGUGUUUCUUACAAAAUACUUAGCAAUGCAUUCUUGGUGGGGCCACGGGUUUUCUUAAAAGCCACGAAACCACUGCAGUUCUUUUUUGUUUCUCCAUAUUUUUUUUUAUUGGAGCAACAUAAUUAUGCAUAAUGGUGGGAUUCGUUGUUACCUGCUGCAGUUCUUAACCCUUGCUGCACAGACAUUCAUUUUAGGAAUUUCCAGCAUCGCCAGACACAUUUAUUAGAGAAUGUAUAAAGGGGGGCAUUUGCAGCACCUCAGGAAUCGGUGGAGAGGAUGGUGGAGAACAGUGUCCUAAGGAUAUCUGGUUCCGUUAGGAGACAGAGCAAGUGUGGGAAAUAAGACAGCUCAUUCUCAAUUUUUUUUUUUUUUUUUUUUCUUUCUCUAGCUCUGCAGGUUUUCCAAGACUAGAGGGCGCAGUGCAUGAAGCCAGGGGUUAUCCACCAUGCUCCAGACAGUGUGGUCCCAGGUGAGCUGAGCUUUCUUUUAGCAUACUCAGAGGCAGGAAAGGUCAGGGAAGGCCUAGCAGCCUCAUUUGAUCAGUCCUGUGCUUAGCAUUGCCUCCAUCAGAGUGUGGCAAAGGAGUUUGCUAGGGAGUUGAUUAGAGAAUAUGUAGGCUGGGAAAGAAGAAAGCCCAGCCAAGAAAUUCUCCUAGAAAGUGAAAUCUACUUGUGUGAAAACUCAAAGUGUGGUCCAUGGAUGAGAGUUUUGACAUCACAGGAAGCUUGUUGGGAAAGGCUGGAUUUCAGGCCAGUUCUCCUGAAUUAGAAACCAUGUUUCACAACAUCUGGAGAACUUAGGGGCUGGUUAAAAUGUGAGGAAUGCUAGUCUUCAUCACAAGACCCAAAGGACAUGUAUUUCCUCAAGGAGAGUUUACCCUGCAUGCUGCCUGUGUAGGAUAUAAUGAUACCAAAUGUCUAAUUUGGAAGGUUUGGUUCUUGUGGGUACUGUGCUCUGGGGGAAUGCUGAAUUUGUAGCUGAAGCAGCUCAGUGCAAAGAUGUCAGCUUAACCUCUGUGAGAGCCUAUAGCCCUUGUUGGCACAGAUUCAGGUAGCAUAGGGAGCAGUUGUCCCCUCCCCCAAUCUUGAUGGUAGAGGAUGAGUUUACUGAUUUUUUUUCCAUUGUCCUGUGUCAUAUGCUGAGAAAGCUAUGUAUAUAAUGUAAUGGAUAGAUCAUGUAAUAAGAAAACUCCAUACCCAGAGACUUAAAAGCAAGCAAUGGUGGCUUCUUUUGUGAACAUUGGUCCAUCCAAAUCUGUUUGAGCCCUUCAACCAAAAUUAGUUCUUGCAAGUCAGGAAAACUUUUGUAGGGGCAAUCUGUUCUUUCUUGGCACCUUGCUUGCCUAUUUUCUCAGGAUUAGUUUCCAUUAAGAAAACUCAGAGCAACAAUGGCUUAAACAAAAUAAAACCUUCUCUUCUAUGAAAAACAAGUUUGGGAGAGUCAGUCCAGGGCAACUACACAGUUAUGCACACAGGCUCUUUCAUUCUGCGCUACUAUCCUAGCACUGUUCUCAUGCUGUAGGCCACCUUAUAGUCCAGAGUUGCUGCUUGGUCUCAGGCAAUUAUGUGGGUAUUCUAGUUAGAUGUAGAGAUAACAAAAGAGGUGAACCUUUCAGCUGAGUUUGCAUCCUUCUAGGACCUUCUAAGAAGUCUCUGAUAGUAUUUACAUUUGGGUUUCAUUGAUCUCACUUAGUUGCCUGGGUUGGAUGCAACCUCAGGUAAAAUUAGGGUUCUAUUACUAAAGAAGAAAGCGAGUACAUGCAUAUCAAUAUACCUGUUAGUCUCUGCUAAAGUCUCUGUGAGGAAUAUUUUUCUAGAAGAUUCUGGAAUCUUCUAGAAGCUUUCCUCAGUUUCAUAUAUGGUUGUAGUAAGUAUUGAGAUUUAUAUGACAUUGUGUGCCAGGUGAAUUUUUAGUGCUUAUCUAUAUUAACUCAUUCUAUCCUACAAAAGCCCUAUAAAAUAGAUAUUAUUGGUAUUCUAGUUUUAAAAUGAUGGAGCUGAGGCACAGAGAGGUUUAGUAUUCUAUCCAGUAUCAGGGAUGGAAUUUGAGCCUCAGGUGUCUAGCAGGUAUUUUUCAACCUUGGCUCAAUUUACAUUUUAUCUACAGAUAAUUAUUUGUUUGGGGGGAUUCCCUAUGCAUAAUUCAUCAGCAUCCUUGGCCACUGUCCACUAGGUGCCAGUAGCACCACCACCACCACCAUCACGCUGCAGCUGUGAUGACUAAAAAUAUAUCCAGGCAUUGUCACCUUUCUCCUGGGGGAGGAGGGCAAAAUUGUCCCUGUGUUGAGACAAGGCUCACAAGUCUGCUGUUUGCUACUAUGCUGUGCUGCCUCUGUAACCUGUUUCUCACACACGGGAAUCACAGCUCCACUACAUAAAGGAGGUGGUAAGUGCUGGCAGAGAACAGAAGCAGUGUGAUCACAGAUGCACUUCAUGCAGCAGGAUGUUGAGAAGCUUAGUGUUUCAGAAAACAAGAAACCAAAGAGUGCAUGGAUAAUUACAGAGGUGUGGAGGGGUAGAGCAUAAUGUGGGGGAAAGAAGGUAAGGUCUAUGUUUCCAGCUUUUUUCUU